RNAcentral lists this ribosomal RNA (468 nucleotides) under uncultured bacterium. RNAcentral's name for it is "partial 16S ribosomal RNA". It matches the Rfam family "Bacterial small subunit ribosomal RNA", at positions 28 to 507 of the family's 1533-position model. The record is from RNAcentral.
GACGAACGCUGGCGGCGUGCUUAACACAUGCAAGUCGAACGGAAAGGCCCUGCUUUUGUGGGGUGCUCGAGUGGCGAACGGGUGAGUAACGCGUGAGUAACCUGCCCUUGACUUUGGGAUAACUUCAGGAAACUGGGGCUAAUACCGGAUAGGAGCUCCUGCUGCAUGGUGGGGGUUGGAAAGUUUCGGCGGUUGGGGAUGGACUCGCGGCUUAUCAGCUUGUUGGUGGGGUAGUGGCUUACCAAGGCUUUGACGGGUAGCCGGCCUGAGAGGGUGACCGGCCACAUUGGGACUGAGAUACGGCCCAGACUCCUACGGGAGGGAGCAGGGGGGAAUAUUGCACAAUGGGCGGAAGCCUGAUGCAGCAACGCCGCGGGCGGGAUGACGGCCUUCGGGGUGUAAACCGCUUUCGCCUGUGACGAAGGGUGAGUGACGGUAAUGGGUAAAGAAGCACCGGCUAACUACGUG